Molecule: ribosomal RNA, 468 nt
Filed under: uncultured bacterium
Lineage: Bacteria
Description: partial 16S ribosomal RNA
Rfam family: Bacterial small subunit ribosomal RNA
Source: RNAcentral
GACGAACGCUGGCGGCGUGCUUAACACAUGCAAGUCGAACGGAAAGGCCCUGCUUUUGUGGGGUGCUCGAGUGGCGAACGGGUGAGUAACACGUGAGUAACCUGCCCUUGACUUUGGGAUAACUUCAGGAAACUGGGGCUAAUACCGGAUAGGAGCUCCUGCUGCAUGGUGGGGGUUGGAAAGUUUCGGCGGUUGGGGAUGGACUCGCGGCUUAUCAGCUUGUUGGUGGGGUAGUGGCUUACCAAGGCUUUGACGGGUAGCCGGCCUGAGAGGGUGACCGGCUACAUCGUGACUGGGAUACGGGCUAGACUACUAGGGGAGGCAGCAGUGGGGAAUAUUGCACAAUGGGCGGAAGCCUGAUGCAGCAACGCCGCGUGCGGGAUGACGGCCUUCGGGUUGUAAACCGCUUUCGCCUGUGACGAAGCGUGAGUGACGGUAAUGGGUAAAGAAGCACCGGCUAACUACGUG